GGGGGACGGACCGGGGCGCGCGCGGUCCGGGGGGACGCUGGAGGGAGGGCGCGGGAUGGAGGGAUCGCGGGGGUCCCAGGACGGAGAGGUCGCGCCGGGCGCGCUCGGAACACGCAGGAAAUUCUCCCCGAGGCGUGGGCUCCGCGGGGCUUCCCCGCCGGUUCGCUGAGUCCCAGCUCCGCUCGGCCGGGACCUCCGUGGCAGGCUCGGGGAGCCCGCGGGGGGCAGAGGCGCCGACCUCCGCCUGGGACCGAGAGGAACCCGCGCCCUGCCCUGCCCCGCCCGGCGCGCGUGGGCCUGAGUCAGGCGCCUCAGCACGGGGACCCCCGGGCCGGCCUUCACGCCGCAGAGCCGCUGCAGGUACGUUCACGGAAGUGGCACACUGCAUGCGUCCAGUGAGUCAAUGUGGCACCGCCUACAUGCGUGUCACUGGCCGGUGGGACAUUCAAAUCAUUCAUACGGGGUCUAAACGAGACAGAGCGUGGCCGAGACAGGAAAGACAGGAAGCGCUGUGCUGCUUGGAAAUGGUCCACCAGGUGCAGCAGUAGCUGCAAGAAAGGAACAGGAAGAACGGUGUGUUCAAAGCUCUACCAUUUGUGUAGAAAAGGGAGAAAAACACGUUUCCUUUGUGUGUGUCAAAGGCAUCGAAUGUCUGGAAUGAUCCAGCACCGGCUACACUGGUUGACCUUGGAGGAGGAGAGGCGGGGUGGGGAUGGGGAUGGCCGCAGGGACCAUACCUGUUUGUACCUUUUGAACGCCGCAGCGGGUGGUGAGGGUUUACGGAGCGGGGGAGGGGAAGCUGACUCCACGAGCCCAGACCCCUGAAGGCCAGAGCAGCGGAGGUGGAGGGUGUUGGCCGGGGAGGAAGGAAGCCCCGGCUGAGCCUUAAAGAGACCCUUUGUUUCCCGGGAAUCCCAGCUGGGCCGUCCUCAGCCCCGACUGAGGGGAAAGGGGGGCUCCCAGGGGUUCUCAUUUUAAAGGCACGGAGGUCAGAUUGCAGAUUUUGCUGAGCCGUGAUUUGAGUGUGCUGUGCCGGACUGCACCCAGCAACCAAGGUCAGCACCAGCACCCAGGACUGCUCCAGACCCAGUCCCUGCUCCAGGCUGGGCCCAAGCCCCCCUCCUCCCACUGCCCUCCCCUGAGUGAGUCACCUUAGUCUGAGGUUCCUGUGCCCCAAGUCACCCACCGGAGAGGGAGAGAAGCGGCAGAGCCCCCACUUCCAGUGCUCCAGCUGAGGGCUGGUGAACUUGAAGGUGGGUAAGAAUCCCCAGACGGAAGUCCAGAGACGUCUGCUAAGUCACAGAGUGUUGGCAAUGGAGAGACUCUUCUGUAACAGGAAACACAGCUCAGUCAGGCUACUGGUCAGGGAAACAAAACAAGCCACUUUGUCAAAAAACAGCCACGCAGCCCUUGCCACAACAGAUGCUCACACUUUGCUGGCAGGCAUGUGAACCCCCUCAACCUUCUGAAAAUUAUUGUGCCAACAUUAAAAUGUAAUGGAGAGGGCCGGGCGCGGUGUCUCACGCCUGUAAUCCCAGUACUUUGGGAGGCUGAGGCCGGCGGAUCACGAGGUCAGGAGAUCGAGACCAUCCUGGGCUAACAUGGUGAAACCCCUUCUCUACUAAAAAUAUAAAAAGUUAGCCGGGCGUGGUGGCAGGUGCCUGUAGUCCCAGCUACUCCAGAGGCUGAGGCAGGAGAAUGGCGUGAACCCAGGAGGUGGAGGUUGCAGUGAGCCAAGAUUGCGCCACUGCACUCCAGCCUGGGCGACAGAGCGAGACUCCAUCUCAAAAAAAAAAAAAAAGUAACGGAGAGGCCGUACGCGGUGGCUAAUGCCUAUAAUCCCAGCACUUUGGGAGGCUAAGGUGGGCGGGUCACCUGAGGUCAGGAGUUUAAGAUCAGCCUGGCCAACAUGGCGAAUUAUUUUUGUCUCUACUAAAAAUAUAAAAAUUAGCCAGGCAUGGUGACAUGAGCCUGUAAUCCCAGCUACUCAGGAGGCUGAGGCAGGAGAAUCACUUGAACCCGGGAGGUGGAGCUUGCAGUGAGCAGGGAUCAGGCCACUGCACUCCAGCCUGGGCAACCAGAGCAAGUCUCCAUCUCAAAAAAAAAAAAAAUGUAAUGGAGAACACUAAGGCCUAGAGACAGACACACAAGGAUGUUUGCAGCAGAACUGCUUGUAUUUGGAAAAACCUGGGCGCUCCAUGAGGGCAAUGGGUAAAUAAAUCAUGCUAUAAUAUACUCUGAUUUUUUUUUUUUUUUUUUUUUUGAGACGGAGCCUCACUGUCGCCCAGGCUGGAGUGCAGUGAUGCGAUCUCGGCUCACGCAAGCUCCACCUCCCGGGUUCACGCCAUUCUCCUGCCUCAGCCUCCCGAGUUGCUGGGACUACAGGCGCCCGCUACCAUUCCUGGCUAAUUUUUUUUGUUUUUAGUAGAGAUGGGAUUUCACCCUGUUAGCCAGGAUGGUCUCGAUCUCCUGACCUCAUGAUCCGCCCGCCUCGGCCUCCCAAAAUGCUGGGAUUACAGGCAUGAGCCACAGCGCCCGGCCUACUCUGAUUUUUUUUUUUUUUUUUUUUUUUUGAGAUGGAAUCUCGCUCUGUCGCCCAGGCUGGAGUGCAGUGGCGCGAUCCUGGCUCACUGCAAGCUCCGCCUCCCAGGUUCACGCCAUUCUCCUGCCUCAGCCUCCCGAGUAGCUGGGACUACAGGCGCCUGCCAACACACCCGGCUAAUUUUUUGUAUUUUUAGUAGAGACGGGGUUUCACCAUGUUAGCCAGGAUGGUCUCGAUUUCCUGACCUCGUGAUCUGCCCAUCUCAGCCUCUCAAAGUGCUGGGAUUACAGGCGUGAGCCACCGCGCCCGGCCUACUCUGAAUAUUUAUGCAACUUUUAGAUGGGUCUAUAAAUGUGUCUUCAGAAGGAAUGUCAGUAAAGUGAAAAAUCCAGUUGCUGGAUAACAGGGACGCAUCGUAUUUCCAAACAAACAGGAAGACCCUCAAGCCCCCUCCCCAGGUCCCCCUCUAGUGAGCCUGGGUGAGGGUAGACUCCAGCUGCCUGCAGCCUGGCCGGAGGGGAGGGUUGCUGGGUGUGGGAGCAGCUUUCCACAGUCGGUGUGCUCUUCGCCCAGCAGCAAUAAGCAUUAUUAUAGUUGUCUUGGAUAAAAAUAUCAAAAGUUAAAUAAAAGCAAAAAAAAAAAGCCGUAAUCCAAUUUUCUCCAAAUAACCACCCUGUGCACCUCCUGCAAAUGCUUCCUGUGUGCAAGACUGUGUGAGGACCCCUCUCUCUCUGUGGACACUCUCCCAGGCUCUGCAGGUUGAAAGGAGUUUCCCUCUGUCUGUUCAUGGCCACCUGGUAGACAUGGGAGACCCUGUCUUCCCACUCCGCCCCGAGUUUCCUGAGGGCAGGAGAUGGGUCUCUCUCACUCUGUGGUCAGGCAGGAGGAGUGCAGACCGUAACCCUGUCUUUCUGACCCAGUGCCCUAACCUGUCAGCAUGAACCACACCACAGGUGCCCAGACAUCAGAGUUUCACAGACAGAAAUAGUUUCCCCAGAGUUUUGGGGCUUUUUUAGGCUCAACUAUCAUGCAUUAUUAUUCUUUCAUAAAAAAAGGGUCAUUUUCCCAGCCUGGGCAACA
Molecule: long non-coding RNA, 3622 nt
Filed under: Homo sapiens (human)
Lineage: Eukaryota; Metazoa; Chordata; Mammalia; Primates; Hominidae
Description: HSALNT0383922
Source: RNAcentral